Molecule: ribosomal RNA, 653 nt
Filed under: uncultured Serratia sp.
Lineage: Bacteria; Pseudomonadati; Pseudomonadota; Gammaproteobacteria; Enterobacterales; Yersiniaceae
Description: bacterial SSU rRNA
Rfam family: Bacterial small subunit ribosomal RNA
Source: RNAcentral
AUUGAACGCUGGCGGCAGGCCUAACACAUGCAAGUCGAGCGGUAGCACAGGAGAGCUUGCUCUCUGGGUGACGAGCGGCGGACGGGUGAGUAAUGUCUGGGAAACUGCCUGAUGGAGGGGGAUAACUACUGGAAACGGUAGCUAAUACCGCAUAACGUCUUCGGACCAAAGUGGGGGACCUUCGGGCCUCACGCCAUCAGAUGUGCCCAGAUGGGAUUAGCUAGUAGGUGGGGUAAUGGCUCACCUAGGCGACGAUCCCUAGCUGGUCUGAGAGGAUGACCAGCCACACUGGAACUGAGACACGGUCCAGACUCCUACGGGAGGCAGCAGUGGGGAAUAUUGCACAAUGGGCGCAAGCCUGAUGCAGCCAUGCCGCGUGUGUGAAGAAGGCCUUCGGGUUGUAAAGCACUUUCAGCGAGGAGGAAGGGUUCAGUGUUAAUAGCACUGUGCAUUGACGUUACUCGCAGAAGAAGCACCGGCUAACUCCGUGCCAGCAGCCGCGGUAAUACGGAGGGUGCAAGCGUUAAUCGGAAUUACUGGGCGUAAAGCGCACGCAGGCGGUUUGUUAAGUCAGAUGUGAAAUCCCCGCGCUUAACGUGGGAACUGCAUUUGAAACUGGCAAGCUAGAGUCUUGUAGAGGGGGGUAGAAUUCC